Molecule: ribosomal RNA, 378 nt
Filed under: uncultured bacterium
Lineage: Bacteria
Description: bacterial SSU rRNA
Rfam family: Bacterial small subunit ribosomal RNA
Source: RNAcentral
GCGAACGGGUGCGUAACACGUGAGCAACCUGCCUUCGAGUGGGGGAUAGCCGGCCCAACGGCCGGGUAAUACCGCAUACGCUCUUCUGGUGGCAUCACUGGGAGAGGAAACGUUUACGGCUCGGAGGGGGGCUCGCGGCCUAUCAGCUAGUUGGUGGGGUCACGGCUUACCAAGGCAACGACGGGUAGCUGGUCUGAGAGGAUGGCCAGCCACAUUGGGACUGAGAAACGGCCCAGACUCCUACGGGAGGCAGCAGUGGGGAAUCUUGCGCAAUGGCCGAGAGGCUGACGCAGCGACGCCGCGUGGGGGAUGAAGCAUUUCGGUGUGUAAACCCCUGUUGCUCGGGACGAACGAACCUUUUCGAGGGGUGUGACGGUA